GCAGAGACCGGACGCGCGGAGGGGCGUGGCCGGCUCAGUCCAGGUCGCAGGGGCGCGCAGGAGCUGGGAAGGGCGCGCCGGGGCAGGCGGUCAGCCGGCCCCGGUGAUUGGGACUGGGACUGUAGGGUCCCAGCGGGCAGAGAAAGCCAUUACCUGCCCUGGGGAGAAAGACAGUCUUGCCAGGUUGGCCGCCACCUCAGUAGAGACUUCUUCGUGGUUACCUGGCGUGCUCUGCCAGAUAGAGACUUCCUCUAAGCGGUAGUGACCUGUCGGGGACGUGGUGAAUGUGUAACCAGGAGUCCGCAACCCCAGGAGUCCGCAACCCCAGGAGUCCGACUGGAGGCCAACCCUAGGUGCGGGGAGGCGGGCUUACCGCGGGGGAGCUGAGCUCCGCUCAGAACCUGCCAGGCGCUCUUGGGGGGCCGAGCUGCUGUCGGCGGGACCGUCAGAAGCUCAGAUGUGCGGGCUCUGAGGAAGCCCCAGAGGACUAGAUAUUGGCAGCGCUGCUCGGCAUUCAGGGGACUGAGGCCCCUGGACCGGAAGCCCCUCUUGGCGGGUGUUUGUCUAAGGGAGAAGUUUCUAAAAGCCUAGGUGCAUUGGAGAUUCAUCUAAGGGAAAUGAAAGGAGAAGGAUUUCUUCCAAAAUAGGUCCUGCCCACACCUCCUCAGGUCAGUGGCACCUAAAAACACCUGGUACUUUCCUUUUUGUUCCUGAGCAGUGCCUCCCAUUUAGUGAUAAAUUAGGAUCCUCAGGGGCUGCCAGCCUCACAAGGAGUCCUGUUCCCCAGGACUGGCAGAGGACCAUAUGGGUGGGGACAGUGGCAUCACUGGAGGGACCAGUGGACAGGUAGACUCCUAGGCACAGCGUCAGGCCUAGAACAGUGGCCUAGCUCCCUGCAGAGGAGCCUAGAAAGGCCUAGGGUUGAGAAUCCAGCAUGACUCUGACAUUCCAGGGAGCAGUGACUUUGGGAACGAAGGGAUGUGGCAUGUUUGGAAGAGCCAGGCUUGGCGGAGGACCUUGGUCAGUCUGUGUCAUGGUAACUUUCCUUGGUAACUAGAGGCCAAGAACAAGAGCCAAUUUGUGUUUGAGUGUUGAGGGACUCAGCAGUAUAUAGGUGUUACUUUGAGAAAGUGCCAGUUUGGCACAGAUCAGUAGAGGCUUGAAAAGGUACCUUAGUUAAACACCCAUGAUGACACCUGUGACAUAUAACGCAUGUCUUCAAGGCGGAAGAGGCCUCAGAGGCUGCUGAACUGGUUUACCUUCUAGUGCCAACAAAGUGACCUCUCUGAUGGGACAUGUGUGGUGUUAGGGAAAGUUUAGUCAGGGUGGGCUGAGUUAGCUGUAGUAACGAAGAUGUCCCCACAUGCUUGUGACUAGCACAAUGAAGUUCAUCUCUCACUCAGACCUCCUGCCCAGCUUGUGCUGGUGAAGACUCAGCACCAGGUGGCAUUUGUAGAUCCAGGAUGCCUCACAGUGAAUAUGGAGGGUCAACUAUGUAUUUAUGGGAAAAAAAUCAAGGUAUAAGUGGACCCAUGUAGUUCAAACCCACAUUGUUUGAAGGUCACCUGUAUUCACAUCGAGCAACCAUCACUGUCAUCCAUCCACGUAACUCUUUUCAUCUUGCAAAACUGUAACUGUUUACUAACUCCCAUUCCUCUCACCCCCAGCCCCUGACAGCCUCUCUUCCAUCUUUUGUCUUUACGAAUUUGACAGCUCUGUGUCCUCAUGUGAAUGGAGUCACACACUUAUCCUUCUGUGAUGGGCUUAUUCCAUGGAGCAUCAUGUCCUCAGAGUUCAUCCAUGUUGUAGCACGUGUCAGAAUUUCCUUCCUGAUGUUCCACUCUGUUUUUACCACAUUUCCCAGCAAAUUCCCCUUUCAUGGGUUUACUAAGACCAAGCGUUUUAUGUUGAGUCACAUGGUUACCAUAUCUAGGACUCCUCAGCUUCUGGUGUGAAUUCUGAUCUCCAAGUGCAGUCAUUUCCCUUUUGCCUGAAGGAUUUCCCUUGGCAGAUCUGGAAGCACACGUCUGCUGGUGAUGAGUUUUUCCAGUUACCAUAUGUCUAAAAAAAGUAUUUUACCUCUGUUUCUGAGUGAUAUUUUUGCUAAGAUUAGAUUUCCAACUUAACAGUUUUUUCCCCUAUUACAAUGUUUUGGGGCUUACGUUGUUUCUUACAUUGUCUCCUGCUCACCUCAUCUUUAUUCCUGUGUAUGCCCUGUAUCUUUUAUCUCUGCCUGUUCCUAAGAUUUUAUCUUUAUCAUUGCUUGCAGCAGUUUGAUUAUGAUGUACUCUGAUGUGCCUUGAUGUGGUUUUUGACAUAGUCUUUGGCAAGUUUCAUUAAACUUCUUUGGUCUGCAAGUUUAUAGUGUUUAUCAGAUUUUUAGUUCUUUCAGUCAUUAUUUCUUGAGUUAUCUCCCUGUCCCUCCCUCUCUUCUGCAUUGAUGACCACAUCAUAUAAAUGUUGGGCCACUAGAAUUUGUUUAUAGCAAACUGCUGUUCUGUUCAUUUCUGGCCAGUCUUUCUUUUCUUGUUUCAUUUUGGAUAAUUCCAGUUGCCCCAUCUUCAAAGUCACACAUCCUUCCUCCAGUGUCUCAUCUGCUGUCCGUCCCAUCUGUAUAUUUUCCAUGUCAGACAUUAUUCAUCUCUAGAUGUUCACUUUGAGUGUAUGUAUGUGGUCCAUGCUCUGUCCUUAGCCUCACCUCUAGUGUCUUGAACCUGAGGAAUAUGUUUUAACAAUGGUUUUAGGAGUUUUCUGGCUUGGUGUUGUCACUGCUCUGACUCGGGUUUGAUCCUGGACCUGGGAACUUCCACAUGCCUCAGGUGCUGCCAAAAAUAAAUAAAUCAUGGUUUUAAGGUCAUUUUCUACUAAUUUUAUCAUCUGAGUAAUUUCUGAAACAGUUACUAUUGAUUGGCCUUUUUCCUCGUUACAAGUAAUAUUUUCAAUGCCAGGUAAUGUUUGAUUGGGUGCCAGACAUUAAGAACUUUACUUGUUUACUUAUAUAAAUAUUUAUAAGCUUCAUUCUGGGAUAUGGUUAAGCUACUUGGGAAGAGUUUGAUGUGCUCAGGUCCUAUUUUCAAGCCUCUAUGGGAGCCCAAAGCAGCAGUUUUGUCCAUUGCUGAGGCCAACCCCUUCCAUUGACUUGCCCCAUAUCCUUGGCUUAUGAGGCCGUGCUGAGAUUCUGGGGCUGGGAGCUCUCCUGGGCCCUGAGUGAGUGCUGGGGGUUCUUUCCUCCAGUCUUCACAGGUGACACUUCACCUGGCCCUAGGUAGCUUCCUUGCAGGACUGCCAGGUCAGUAGGUGAAGGCUUGAAGAGAGCCCACUCUGCACGCCUCUGCCUGCUCCCCGCUGCCCAGGGCCCCAAUGCCACCCCACUCUGCUCCCCAGCUCAGGAGUGCUGCUUCCUUGCAGGCUGUGGACUUCUGAUCCUCAUUCACUUCCUCAUUACUUGAUGUUAUCUAGUCACAGUGCUUUAAAUAUCUCAUAAAAAGCCCUUGCCUGGGCCUCUGCGUGCUAUUGCUCACUUGGCAUCUCCACUUGAAUGCCUAUUUCGCUUCUUAAUACUGACAAAAUAAAACCCAAGCAUCCUAAGUUCUCAAUAAACCUUUGCCCUCUGCAGGCUUUCCUGUCUAAGUAGAUAGCAGUUUGUUCAGGGCAAAACCUUGGGGUCCUCCUCCGUCACUCAUGCCUGUGUUUUAACCAUCAGCAAGUCCUCCUGGCUCCACCUUCAAAACCGCCUGCAAGACUGUGCCCCCCUCCCACACCUGCCCACCUCCCUGGUGUGCUGCCCCUAACUGGCCUCCCUGCCCCUUUCUGCUUAGAGCCCUUCGUCCCGUCUCUUAUGAGGCCUCUGAGACUUCCCUGGUCUGCCCCUCCUCUGGUGCUGGUCUCUUGACUCUGAUCACAUGGGCUUUCUUGAGUCUUGAACACACCAAGCAGGCUUUGGCCUCAGGGCAUUUGCCCGUGCUCCUUCCUCUGCCUGGAAUGCUCUUGUCUCAGGUGACUAUGUGGCUUCUACCCUCACAGCCCUCACAUGCUGCACAUAUGGCACCUUAUCUGUGAGGCCUUCCUUUUCAGAUAUAAAGUAGGUAUCCUUCCCCCCUCCCCUCACACACCCCCUACUUUGGGGGCUCCCAACAUUUACCGCACAUCAUUUCUUAGGAUGUUGUCUGCCCCUCUCUAGGCUGUAAGCUCUGUGAGGAAAGGGUGGUGUCUGUUUUGUUCCCUGCUCUGUCCCCAUGCCUAAAAUAGUAUUGGGCAUGUAGCAAACCCUCAGUAGUUACACAGCUUUUGAGUGAGUACAUAAAAUAAAACUCAGCAGCACUUUAUUAUUUGGAUUUAAUUUGAUGUGAUUAUCUGAAUUUUAAGCUUGUUGAUUUAUGGGAAAUUUGAUAAUCUCUCUUUUAUAUGCCACCUGUAAUUGUGGAAAGGCUGUAAUAAGACCAUUUGAGGAGUUCCCAUCAUGGAUCAGCAGAGAUGAAUCUGACUAUUAACCAUGAGGACACAGGUUCGAUCCCUGGCUUCACUCAGUGGGUUAAGGAUCUGGUGUUGCUGUGAGCUAUGGUGUAGUUCGCAGAUGCAGCUCGAAUCUGGCAUUGCUGUAGUUCUGGUGUAGGCCAGUGGCUACAUCUCCUAUUCGACCCCUAGCCUGGGAACCUCUGUAUGCCGUGGGUGUGGCCCUAAAAAGACAAAACAAACAAAAAAACCAUUCGAAAGAAUCAUUUAAUACUAUUUACUGAGGACUUAUUUAAACGCUAGUAUAGUGUUAGUGCUUUACGUAUGUUGUAAAACCCAGUCUUCACAACGAACUCAUGAGGUAGGUAUUAUACCAUUUUGAAUGGUUUAUUUUGCCGCAGUUCUCACUGCUGGUAUGUAUCAUUGUUGGCAUUUUUCUCUAAAGCCAAACUAAAUUAGACACGUCUCCUUUUCAUCUAUGAUGUAUAAAAGAAAAAAAGUACAGUAUGAAAACCUCCAAAACCAAGAGGUGUGACUUGAAAAGACAUCAAAUUAUUUAAAGUAAGGAAACCUAACAAAACCGAUACUCUGGGUGCUUUCUGUCACUUCCCUGGACCCUCACCCACCUGCCCAGGUACUUCUCCUCACUCUUCUCCUUUGCAGCCGAGGAUGCACCACACCUGCAUUUUCUUCUGCCCUAGAUGCUGGGUGUGCAUGGAGAUGCGAGUGGGAGAGUGUUUACAGGCACUGCUGAGACUUAAGUGUAAGCCCAGGCCUGUUGUGAGAUAGCAAACAACCCAGAAGUUAACAUCUGGUUCUGCAACACUAAUGUCCCCUAGAGCAUGUGACAGGAAUGUCCUGCAGAGGCUGAUGUAAGUACACAGUGUUCAGUGUUAAGUCCAGUUCAGUGGUGUGUUCAUUCUCCAUCUUCAUCUUUUAAUUUGAAAGUUGCCAGUUAAUCUGCCAUUAGUUCUGAUGGGAAUGCUUCUUUGUUUAUUUCUGCAUUGAACAGCAUUUAUAUUCAGAGACUAUUCAUGGGUUCUUUUAAUUUUUAUUCUGUAUUCAGAAGAAGAAGAUUUUCUGGUUCUUGUUUUCUUUUUAUUAUAUUUUCCCUAUCAGAUUAACUAUCUGCCUAAGGAUAUUAAAAUAUGUGUUUUCUUUCCAUUUUCAGCAAAAGUCCUAUAGAGUUAUCUUUCUUCUGCUUUUCUUUUUCUUUCCCAUACUGUGUUUCAAAUCAAAUGGACUCUUUUUAGCCUGGUUUCUUAAAAAGGUGGUUUGCAAAACAAGUGUUUUUUUCUUUUUCCUCUUGGAUUCACCAGCAAAUACAUUUAACCAGAAUUUUCUUUUAUUGGCAUUCCUGCCUUGGUGCAACAGAAUAAUUAGCAUCUUUGCAAUGCUGGGACAUAGGUUCGAUCCCUGGCCUGGCACAGUGGGUUAAGGAUCUGGUGUUGCUGCAGUUGUGGUGUAGGUCACAACUGUGGUUCGGAUCUGAUCCCUGGCCUUGGAAUUCCAUAUGCUGUAGGGAGGCCAAAAACAAACAAACAAAAACCCCAGAAUUUUCUUUUAUGGGUUGAUUUUUUUAACACUUUAAUCAGCUCUACUGAGGUAUAAUUUCCAUGUAGCAAAAUUCACCAAUUUUGUGUACAUUUUAAGGAGUUCUGACAAAUUUUACACAAUUGUGUAACAAACGACCACAACCAUCAUGAUAUGUCACUCCAGAAGCUUUUUGAUACUCUCUCCCAACCCUCUAGGCUGAUUUUUAAGUUCAGAUAGAAGAUUUUUGUCUUUCCUAUGGAAGAUAUGUCACAUUCCAUGAGAUCCAGGUGGGGUUUUCCCACUGCAGAGAACACCCACCAUGCCCCCUCCCCAAAUUCCGUCCUUUCUGUUUGUCUCCAUGUCACUAUCUGAGCCCAGACCUUGGCCAAUACCAUUUCUAGCCCUUAGCUUGGUAAAAUGUGCCUUUUAAUACAAGAGUAAGGAGAGCUAAGAGAAGAGCUUACUGGGUUUAGUGAUGUUCCCUGUGACUUUACAGGAAAGACUGAGGUCAGAGGCAUUAGAACUUCCCUUCCUUGGAGUUCCUGUCAUGGCUCAGUGGAAAUGAAUCUGACUAGGAUCCAUGAGGAUGCAGGUUCAAUCCCUGGCCUUGCUUAGUGGGUUAAGGAUCCAGUGUUGCCGUGAAUUGUGUUGUAGGUUGCAGAUGUGGUUCACAUCUGGCAUUACUGUGGCUGUGCACGCUAGCGGCUAUAGCUCUGAUUUGACCCCUACCCUGGGAUCCUCCAUAUACUGCAGGUGCAGCCCUAAAAAUACAAAAAAAGAAAAAGAAUUUUCCUUUCUUUUCCUGAAGAGAGUAGUCCAGGCCAGCAGAUGUACUGUGAAACAGUGUGAUGUUUGCACCAUCUCCCCUCUCUCUAUUGAUUUGUGAGGGCUGCUAUGCUGAAGUACCACAGACCAGGAGCUCAGAUAGCGCACGUUUCCGGUCUCUACAUCUUAGGGGCUGCACGGCUGAGGUCAAGGCUCCCUGCAAGGGCUGGGGGCGGGGGGUAGGGAUCUGUUCCACGCUGCCUAGGCUUCUGCUGGUCUGCUGGCAUCACCCCCACCUGUGCCUUCGCCUUCACACUGGCAGGUUGUGUGUGUGUGUGUGUGUAUUCAAACUUGCCCUUUUUAUAAGGAAACCAGUUGUAUUGGAUUAAGCCCACCCUAAGGACCUCAUCCUAGCUAAUUACAUUCACAGCAACCCUGGCCUGAAAAAAGGUCCCUUUCUGAGAUGUUGGGGUGAGUGUGGGGGGUGGGGGCACAGUUCAGCCCAUUUCAUUUUUUAUCAUGCACAUGCCCCACAGAAUGGUAAACACAACACAGCCAACAACUCUGUGCAUCAGGACAGGCCUGCUGUUUUUCCAGACAUGAGGAGAGGCUUUUGCUGAUUCUGAAACUGUGCCCCCUGGGGACUGGUGGGAACACUGACUUCUGGACCCUCUCUCCAGAGGGUCUGAUUCACCGAGUCUGUGUCAGGGCUCAGGGAUCCGUAUAUUUAACAAAGACCUUGGGGAGUUCCUUUUGUGGCUCAGUGGGAACAAAUCUGACUAGGAUCCAUGAGGACACAGGUUCGAUCGAUCCCUGACCUCACUCAGUGGGUUAAGGAUCCGAUAUUGCUGUGAGCAGUGGUGUAGGUCGAAGAUCUGGUGUUGCUGUGACUGUGGUGUAGGCCAGCAACUGUAGCUCCAAUUCGACCCCUAUCCUGGGAACCUCUGUAUGCCGUGGGUGUGGCCCUAAAAAGACAAAAAAACAAAAAACAAAAAA
Molecule: long non-coding RNA, 7749 nt
Filed under: Sus scrofa (pig)
Lineage: Eukaryota; Metazoa; Chordata; Mammalia; Artiodactyla; Suidae
Description: lncRNA (ENSSSCG00015008013.1)
Source: RNAcentral